UCUCCAGUGCCAUGGAAAUUGCGGAAAACCUGUUCAACCAAGUUUUCAGAUUGUAUCCCUGAGGGCAUUGUGUCCAACCGUGGACCACAGUUCAUCUCCCACAUCUGGAAAUUAUUCUGCUACGGCUCACCGUCACAUCCAGCAAGCCUCUCAGAGACCGAAUAGGUCCUCCGACAGGCACCAUUGAACCAUCCCGCUAUUCUACCCUGGUCAGCAAGUAUGGUUGUCAACCUGGGACAUCCGUCUCUGUCUUCCCAGCAAAAAGCUGAGCCCCAGCCUGUGCAUUAUAGCCCUCUUCAUCCACCCA
This is a long non-coding RNA of Esox lucius (northern pike), 307 nucleotides long. The record is from Ensembl. NCBI's taxonomy places the organism in Eukaryota, Metazoa, Chordata, Actinopteri, Esociformes, Esocidae.